This 71-nucleotide transfer RNA is filed under the name Marmota monax (woodchuck). RNAcentral describes it as "tRNA.Ala". Lineage: Eukaryota; Metazoa; Chordata; Mammalia; Rodentia; Sciuridae. The record is from RNAcentral.
GUGGUUAUGACUCAGGGGUAGAGGGCUUGCCUAGCAUGUGUGAGGCACUGGAUUCGAUACCUGGUACCACA